Molecule: ribosomal RNA, 469 nt
Filed under: uncultured bacterium
Lineage: Bacteria
Description: bacterial SSU rRNA
Rfam family: Bacterial small subunit ribosomal RNA
Source: RNAcentral
GACGAACGCUGGCGGCGCGCCUAACACAUGCAAGUCGAACGGAGCUUAGAGAGCUUGCUUUUUAAGCUUAGUGGCGAACGGGUGAGUAACGCGUGAGUAACCUGCCCUAGAGUGGGGGACAACAGUUGGAAACGACUGCUAAUACCGAAUAAGAGGUACGUAAAAAUAUCAUUGAAAGGAGCCUUUAAAGCUUCACUUAAAGAUGGGCCUGCGGCGUAUUAACUAGUUGGUGAGGUAAUGGCUCACCAAGGUAACGAUGCGUAGCCGAACUGAGAGGUUGAACGGCCACACUGGGACUGAGACACGGCCCAAACUCCUACGGGAGGCAGCAGUGGGGAAUAUUGCACAAUGGGGGAAACCCUGAUGCAGCGACGCCGCGUGAGCGAUGAAGUAUUUCGGUAUGUAAAGCUCUAUCAGCAGGGAAGAAAAAAUGACGGUACCUGACUAAGAAGCACCGGCUAAAUACGUG